Molecule: long non-coding RNA, 260 nt
Filed under: Physcomitrium patens
Lineage: Eukaryota; Viridiplantae; Streptophyta; Bryopsida; Funariales; Funariaceae
Description: long non-coding RNA (PPAT_LNC005576)
Source: RNAcentral
AUUAAAAUAGAAUUUAGAAACUUAAUAAAAACAAUCCAUCUAAACAUAACAAUAUUUAGUAUAAUACAAUUAACAACCAUUCCAAACAAAGGUAAGCAAUUAGUUUUAAAUACCACAUGAGCACCUAUUAAGUAAUUUCUCUCAAUUGUGAAUGUGAUAAGUACAUCACAAAGCUCUCUUUUUUACUUGUAGAUAAGCUCUUUAAUUUUCAAUGAGAAUUCUUGCUUCAAACCUAAUUGCAAACCUAUUAUCUUUCUUAU